RNAcentral lists this small RNA (348 nucleotides) under Pan troglodytes (chimpanzee). RNAcentral's name for it is "processed transcript". Lineage: Eukaryota; Metazoa; Chordata; Mammalia; Primates; Hominidae. The record is from RNAcentral.
GGUCAUGCGGGGGCCCUGGCCCCCACGCCAGCAGCUGGGGCCUUUUUGAGGUGGGGGCUCCCUGGACUCAGGUUCCUCCUUGGCCGCGGCUGUAGCUGAGAGAAGGGACAGGAGGUAGGAUGCCACCUCCUCCAGAAGCGCGGCGACCCGGGCUGUGUGGAAAUUCACUGGGCCUGAUGGAGCUGGAUGCAGCCUUGGAAAUUCUCCCUUUCCCUUUGGGCUCCCACAGCAGGCCCCCCAGUCCUGGGUGCAGGCUUGUGACGGCUGCUCAGGGAUCCAAACGUGGCCCCUGAGCUCUCUGCGAUGUGUUCCACAGUUCCCUGGAGGCAGAUGCCGCGUGAGGGUCAG